AUAUAUAUAUAAAAUCCGUCGACUUUAGAAAUCGUGAGGGUUCAAGUCCCUCUAUCCCCA
Molecule: transfer RNA, 60 nt
Filed under: Heliconia pastazae
Lineage: Eukaryota; Viridiplantae; Streptophyta; Magnoliopsida; Zingiberales; Heliconiaceae
Description: partial tRNA-Leu
Source: RNAcentral